AGCGAACACUGGCGGCAUGCUUAACACAUGCAAGUCGCACGGUCAGCAAUGGCAGUGGCGGACGGGUGAGUAACGCGUAGGUAUCUAUCCGUCGGGUGGGGGACAACCNCGGGGAAACUGUGGCUAAUACCGCAUGAUGACUGAGGUCUAAAGGCGCAAGUCGCCUGAGGAGGAGCCUGCGUCCGAUUAGCUAGUUGGUGGGGUAAAGGCCUACCAAGCCUGCGAUCAGUAGCUGGUCUGAGAGGAUGAUCAGCCACACUGGGACUGAGACACGGCCCAGACUCCUACGGGAGGCAGCAGUGGGGAAUAUUGGACAAUGGGCGCAAGCCUGAUCCAGCAAUGCCGCGUGGGUGAAGAAGGUCUUCGGAUUGUAAAGCCCUUUUGGCGGGGACGAUGAUGACGGUACCCGCAGAAUAAGCUCCGGCUAACUUCGUG
Molecule: ribosomal RNA, 435 nt
Filed under: uncultured bacterium
Lineage: Bacteria
Description: bacterial SSU rRNA
Rfam family: Bacterial small subunit ribosomal RNA
Source: RNAcentral